UAGGGAAUCUUCCGCAAUGGACGCAAGUCUGACGGAGCAACGCCGCGUGAGUGAAGAAGGAUUUCGGUUCGUAAAACUCUGUUGUUAGAGAAGAACAGCGCAUAGAGUAACUGUUAUGCGUGUGACGGUAUCUAACCAGAAAGCCACGGCUAACUACGUGCCAGCAGCCGCGGUAAUACGUAGGUGGCAAGCGUUGUCCGGAUUUAUUGGGCAUAAAGCGAGCGCAGGCGGUCAAUUAAGUCUGAUGUGAAAGCCCCCGGCUCAACCGGGGAGGGUCAUUGGAAACUGGUUGACUUGAGUGCAGAAGAGGAGAGUGGAAUUCCAUGUGUAGCGGUGAAAUGCGUAGAUAUAUGGAGGAACACCAGUGGCGAAGGCGACUCUCUGGUCUGUAACUGACGCUGAGGCUCGAAAGCGUGGGUAGCAAACAGG
Molecule: ribosomal RNA, 429 nt
Filed under: Bacteroidota bacterium
Lineage: Bacteria; Pseudomonadati; Bacteroidota
Description: Bacteroidetes bacterium partial 16S ribosomal RNA
Rfam family: Bacterial small subunit ribosomal RNA
Source: RNAcentral